AGAGACAGCAGUCGCCACGGUAAUACAGAGGGUGCGAGCGUUAAUCGGAUUUACUGGGCGUAAAGCGUGCGUAGGCGGCUUUUUAAGUCGGAUGUGAAAUCCCUUAGCUUAACUUAGGAAUUGCAUUCGAUACUGGGAAGCUAGAGUAUGGGAGAGGAUGGUAGAAUUCCAGGUGUAGCGGUGAAAUGCGUAGAGAUCUGGAGGAAUACCGAUGGCGAAGGCAGCCAUCUGGCCUAAUACUGACGCUGAGGUACGAAAGCAUGGGGAGCAAACAGGAUUAGAUACCCCAGUAGUCCCUGUCUCUUAUAA
Molecule: ribosomal RNA, 309 nt
Filed under: uncultured bacterium
Lineage: Bacteria
Description: partial 16S ribosomal RNA
Rfam family: Bacterial small subunit ribosomal RNA
Source: RNAcentral